Molecule: ribosomal RNA, 253 nt
Filed under: uncultured bacterium
Lineage: Bacteria
Description: partial 16S ribosomal RNA
Rfam family: Bacterial small subunit ribosomal RNA
Source: RNAcentral
UACGGGGGGAGCAAGCGUUGUCCGGAUUUAUUGGGCGUAAAGAGCGUGUAGGCGGCCGCACAGGUCCGUUGUGAAAACUGGAGGCUCAACCUUCAGACGUCGAUGGAAACCGUGCGGCUAGAGUCCGGAAGAGGAGAGUGGAAUUCCUGGUGUAGCGGUGAAAUGCGCAGAUAUCAGGAAGAACACCCGUGGCGAAGGCGGCUCUCUGGGACGGUACUGACGCUGAGACGCGAAAGCGUGGGGAGCGAACAGG